RNAcentral lists this long non-coding RNA (1202 nucleotides) under Oncorhynchus kisutch (coho salmon). RNAcentral's name for it is "lncRNA (ENSOKIG00005050346.1)". Lineage: Eukaryota; Metazoa; Chordata; Actinopteri; Salmoniformes; Salmonidae. The record is from RNAcentral.
UCUACUCACCCGUUUGUGACAAUCCAUGAGAAUGAGGCGCUGAUGUCCAAAAAGCUUGAUAACACACUUUUGGGAAAGAUGAGGGCAGAUGGCAGCAUAAGCUCUGGCAACCUGGCCUUGAACACAGAGAAGAACAGUGAGAAUAACUCAACAACAGAAGAGGAAGACAACAUCAUAAUCUCCUCACUGCUGAUUACUGAAUCUGAGGAGCCGAAAGCUAACCCUGCAAAAGAUGGAUCCUGGCAAGGUGGUGCGACCUCUUUCAACCUUACCAAGGUAAAGAUGGAAGCCUUUGAGACACACAUUUAAUUGUUUGUGACAUAAAUGGAUGACAAAACAGAACGGGGUAGAGAUUAAGGCAACACUUUAUUUUAAGUGUAAUAAACCCCUUAAACCAUUUAUAAGGCAUUUAUGAAGUGUGUUAACCAUUUAUUAAUCAUUACUCCCACAUUUAUAAACCUUUUACUAAUCAUUAGUUAUUAAGUCUUUUUGCAGCCCCUAAUCUAAAGUGAGUGCUAUUUAAGCUUUACAUUUACCUUAUAAAUGUUUUGAGUGACCAGUGUAAUUUCUCACAAAAAGAUGGGCAUGCCAUUGGUAGACAUUCCAGCAGUACCUGGUAAAAUAAUAAGCGCACAACACAGGAUAUUUGCUACCAUUUAUGAAUGUGGGAGUAAUGAUUAAUAAAUGGUGAGUACUGUUUGUAAUCGCAUUAUAAAUAGUUUAUAAAUGCCUUAUGAAUGGUUUAUUACGGACCUUUCAAAUAAAGUGUUACAGAGAGUCAUUCCCUGUAGUAUUGACAAAGAGGGCUUCUGAUCAUUAUGUGUGAGCGCAUGCAAUACAUUCAACUGCUUUUGCUAUUGUAUAAACAUUUAUGGAAUGCACCAUUUUUCUGGAGAUUGUGAAACUUCAUGCUCCACUGGGAUGAAAGAGAAUCCCUUUUGAAGUGAUUGAUAUAAUUACUUAAUCAUUCUGACUUGUAUUUUGGGAUAAAUUAGUUUGUUCCAACAUUGAAUAAAACAUUUUGUCAUCUUUUCAAAAAGUUUGUUUGAUUACUGACCUUUUUAAUACAUGCGAAUAAACAUUUCAUUAUACAUAAUGCAAGUACAUCUAUGCCGUGUUGGUAUUGUACCUGUGUGUCCCUGUGAUUUCUUUGUACUGACUCAGAACAUAACUAAUUGAAACAUUUCUCAUUUUGACAAAUU